UUCCUCUUUUGAUUUGUAAUCAAAUUUCCAAAUUAAGAAUACUCAAUUUCUAUUUUAUUUUUCAUAGAAAUGGAAAAUGAAGCUUUCUAUUGGCAUAGAGAUAAAGUUGCUGGUUUCACCUGAGAGGAUAUGAGGCUUUUUUCCCCCUGCUGGAACCAAUAGGAAUGAGCUAAGAAAUUGACUGACAUCAUGCCAAGAAUGGAGAAAAGAGAAAAAUCAUCCCUGCCCUCAAUUAGUUUACAUUGGAGGUGAGAACAUGUACAGGGAUGAGUAAAUGCCAAGUAUAAAAUAUGU
This 294-nucleotide long non-coding RNA is filed under the name Monodelphis domestica (gray short-tailed opossum). RNAcentral describes it as "lncRNA (ENSMODG00000036866.1)". Lineage: Eukaryota; Metazoa; Chordata; Mammalia; Didelphimorphia; Didelphidae. The record is from RNAcentral.